Molecule: ribosomal RNA, 467 nt
Filed under: uncultured bacterium
Lineage: Bacteria
Description: partial 16S ribosomal RNA
Rfam family: Bacterial small subunit ribosomal RNA
Source: RNAcentral
ACGAACGCUGGCGGCGUGCUUAACACAUGCAAGUCGAACGGAAAGGCCCUGCUUUUGUGGGGUGCUCGAGUGGCGAACGGGUGAGUAACACGUGAGUAACCUGCCCUUGACUUUGGGAUAACUUCAGGAAACUGGGGCUAAUACCGGAUAGGAGCUCCUGCUGCAUGGUGGGGGUUGGAAAGUUUCGGCGGUUGGGGAUGGACUCGCGGCUUAUCAGCUUGUUGGUGGGGUAGUGGCUUACCAAGGCUUUGACGGGUAGCCGGCCUGAGAGGGUGACCGGCCACGUUGGGACUGAGAUACGGCCCAGACUCCUACGGGAGGCAGCAGUGGGGAAUAUUGCACAAUGGGCGGAAGCCUGAUGCAGCAACGCCGCGUGCGGGAUGACGGCCUGCGGGUUGUAAACCGCUUUCGCCUGUGACGAAGCGUGAGUGACGGUAAUGGGUAAAGAAGCACCGGCUAACUACGUG